Molecule: long non-coding RNA, 3494 nt
Filed under: Homo sapiens (human)
Lineage: Eukaryota; Metazoa; Chordata; Mammalia; Primates; Hominidae
Description: HSALNT0330350
Source: RNAcentral
CUUCAUGCAGGUCCCACGGCAGCACUCAGCAGGCAGGGGUGCCUGUGACUCCUGAAGCCCCAGAGGGCAUGUUACAGUACUCUUUUAGCUCUGCCAUCUGCAAACAGCUUACGUGUUAACAGCUCAGUGGGCCCUUUGCCUUUUUAUGUGAGGUGGCUGCCCUCCAUUAGCAAGGGCAAAGGGGCAGUGUGACAGCCUUUUGUAUCUGCACUCAUGGCUCCCAGACUCUUGUCCAGCAUCCAGGAAAAAUGAGGUCACACGAAUGAAUUGAAGGAUGGUAAAUUUGGAGGAUUUUAUUGCCAAUUAAAGUGGCUCUCAGUGGGAAAUGAAACUGAAAAGGAGACGGUGUGGGACUCAAGAAUUAGAGUGAAAACUUACUGUUUUUGCUGCUGACCUCUCAUGCUUUCCUAUGGCACCAGAGCUCUGAUUUUGAAGAACAUCCUUUACAUACCGUCUGCUGAGAUGUCAGUAAAAAUGCCUUAUCCAGACCUGAGGAUCCAGCCAUACUGAGGAAGAUGUGACCCAAAUUUCACAUCUGAGUCAAUCCUGAGACUUUGACAUGAACACUUGACAGAGAGGGCUUCUUACUUUCACUAAACUCAAGACUGCUCAUAUAGCAUGUAAAUCUGAUUCUUCCAGAACCCAUCUUGCCAGUAAGAGGGACCAGAGUUUUCCUGGGAAAAUGGGGCAGACAAAUGAAAAUAAAUGGAGCUACUACAGAAGACAGCAGAGUCAAUAAGUGGAAAGACUCUAGAUGCUAAGGAUGUCACUUGAACCCCUGGAUUCAGCUGUGACUUUUCAGCCACCUGAAAUAAUUUCCCUUGUUGGUUUAAAUACACUGAAAAGAGAGAGAGAGAGAGAGAGAGAGAGAGAGAGAGAGAGAGAGAGAGAGAGUAUACUAUUAUAUAUAAUAUAUAUGCACUAUUAUAUAUUUAUUUACUUACAGCUGAAAGAUGCCCAAAUCAAGUGACUCUCAAUGCUGCCAUACCCCCAUUUAUCCCCAGUGAUGAGGAACUUACUGUCACAUGUAAGUUCCAUCCUUGGACUGACUUUUAAAAAGCUAUAUAUAAUUAUUUAAAAUUUCUUUACUUUAUACCCAUUGUUCCUGUUGCCUCACUUGGAGUCAGAUGGAGUAUGCCUGUUUCUUCACAAAGGCCUAUAGAUAUUGGAAUAUUACACUAGUCCCUCUUCCUUAAUUUGCCCAUCUCCUGUCCAAAGUUUCUUAUAUACUGAGACUUCCAAUCUAAACCUUAAGAUUAUCUUAUCUACAAAAUGUUUUUAAUAAGUAUGCAUCAAAAUGACUAUUUUUGUUAUCUUGCAUAAUUGUCAGAAUUAAAAUUGAAUUAUCUUUAGGUGCCUGCCCACACAUUAAACUUUUUUCUUUUCCCCCCUUUUAUAAGAAAACUCCAAAACAGAUUAUAAAAUGAGGAAUGAUUAAUACAUUCCAUUUAUACGAAAUAGUGCAAGCCCACAUAUCCCAGAGAAACACGGAAACAGCUGCCAAACCUACUCACUUCAUUUUUCAUGAAAUGAGAACAGCUGUUGAGUGUCUCAUAAAUAUCUAGGGCAAGACAUGAAGAAAUUACAAAGGAAACCCUUUCCAAGUAGGAAGUAUAUGUUCCCAAAUCCUUGAAAAUUCAUCUCAGAGCAUGGUAAAGCCAAGUAAGCUCGUUAAAGUUAAUGUAUGAGUUCCACAGAAGACAAGAGACUUUUCCAGAGUCCCAAAGAGAUAGCCAUAGAUCUCAGAUCUUUCUUCUUUGAUGCCAAUUUUACACACAGCAUAUAAUGAAUUACCAAAUAAAUGGUUCAGAUAUCAAGUGCAUUGGAUUUAGAGAAGGGAGAUAACCAUAAGAAGUGGAGAUGCUAGGCAAUUUUUUAGCUUGGUCAAUGGCUGAGAUUUAGUCAGGAGCUUUACCUCCAUUCUGUCUAAAUUCCUAAACAGUAAGAUGAGAUUCCAUGAACUAAGGGAAAUGCUAUUAGAGUCUCUAGUUACUCAAGUAUUCAUUCAGACAAAUAUUUACUGUUUUUAAGUACCAUGGACAAGGCACUGUGUUAAAUACAUUGUAUGUAUUGUCAAGGCAGAAGGUGUGGAGGUGGGGUGGGAAAGAGAUGAUGCCUUCUCUGAAGAAGUUUACAAAUUCUGAGGAAGUUCCCAAGACAUAUAUUUUUCAAUGUUCAGUAACAAUAAAUGCAGUGCUAUGUUUUAACUCAUCCUCUUAAGUCAUGGGGAAUUCCUUUUAUCCCUAGAAAACAGAUGACACUGACCUUAAAUGUUUGGUAAAUACAUUUCUAGGUAAAAAGUUGAGACCUUAGGUUAUGACCUUAAAUGUCUUAUCUUAUUCUUCCUUUAUUUUUUCAACUACCCAUCCUUCAAAAUUUAUUCCAAUUCUCUGCUUAUCUACAGAGCUUUCUUUGAUGUUCCCUCCACUGACAUUAACCUUUUAAUGAGCCCUUUAGCAUAUUACUGGUAUUUUUCUUGAUGCUUAAGCAUAUGAUUUUUAAUACAGUUACUUAACUGCUUUCUAUGUUAGGGGUUAUUUCCUCAGCUACAUUGAGCAUCUGGGCGAUAAAUGCCUUACAAUUCCUUAGUUUCUAGAACAACAUAAGUAUUCCAUGUAUUGCAAGGAAAUAAAUUAAUAAAUGCCAUACCCCUUUGAUUCUUCAUUGCCAAUUAAGUCUACUCCACAGAACUUGUCCUCCUGGCCAUCUAAGCCCAGUCAUGUCUGAGUCAUAAGAAAAUAUACCUUAAGGACAGAUACUGAUUUUUAUUUUAAUUUUACUGUAUUUCCCUAGUUGAGGCAACCUCCAUUGUUAACGUACUUCAUCCAGUACUAGCCCUGUGAGACAUCUGUGAAGGAAUGAAAUUCAGUGAUAAGAUAUAAUUACAGAUAAUCAAAUUAGUCAAAAUGAUAUAAGAUUAUCUAUCAUUGAAGCACAAUAUGAUCCAGAGAAGUAUAAACUAAUAGAAGAGCAGCCACUGAAAACUACAGCCAAAUCAUCACUUAUCUUGCCUGAAAAUGUAAGAAAUUUCAAUUAUCUGGUGUGUGUGGGGAACAUGAGAGAUUUUCAUUAUUCUCAGUGAAUGUAUGGAGUCCAUGCUUUGAAGAAUAUUAGUAAGCUUGGUCAACUGCAGAAGUGAUGGGCUAAGUAUUUGAAAGAAAGGAAGAGAACUAAGCUUUAAUGACCUUUAACAGAAACUUAGUAGGCUACUAAUACGUAGGAUUUAGACAUAUAUAUGCCAAUUAUGUGUAUGUAUUAAUAUUGUUUAUGCUACUGCAUGACUUUCAACCAUUAAAAAAAAAAGAACUUACAUGUUUACUUAGUUAUCACUAGGAAUACCCUCUUAGCAGUUUAGAAGCCUACCUGUAGUAUUUCCCCUUGGGCAGGGUCAAUUUUUAAAGAUGACAUCACCCAAGAAUAAUGGCCAUGAAUUGCCCUCAGAGGAAUCACCUUAAAGGAGAACUUUAUUUUUGUUCUACUUGGUCUGAUCAAUU